GUCCUCUCAUUGGCCUGUUCCAGUAGGAUUCGCGAGUUUUCAUUGGCUCUCCCGUUGCUAUCCCGUUGCCGGCUCGUCACACUGUCACACUUCUCACGGCGUGCGGUAAGUAUCGACGGCUAAGGAAGUUUCCCUUCCGUUCGUUUUUCAGACGUUUUACGCUCUUUUUCUUUACCUGGCUUUUAUUCCCCGUCUACCUACCUCGGGAAUGUACUGUAAACGUGACAUUUCAUGGGCCCGAUUAGCGGCUCGCUCGGCCGGUGGUUUAUGUGCGAAAUAGCGGGUGUCCGACCAUCUGUCUGGCUAGAUGGCAUUAAAAUGACUGAUUAAAUGUGAGCAGGUAGUUUGCGUGCUCGUCUGCAGUGGCUCGUCUGGAGUGCUGCUUUACAACUCCAGAUCGACCGUGUGUGUUGCUGUAAUGUAUUGCGGACGUGCGGCGUAGUACCGCGUUCAUUGCUGUCCUGCGAUAAGGAGGUCGUUUGCCUGAUGCGGGGUCGCACUCUGGGGAACAGUGUGACCUCGCUGUGCAGGCACAGACAGCAGUGGCU
Electrophorus electricus (electric eel) is the source of this 548-nucleotide non-coding RNA. Lineage: Eukaryota; Metazoa; Chordata; Actinopteri; Gymnotiformes; Gymnotidae. The record is from RefSeq and is a predicted model, not a curated record.